GUUUCUUCUAAUUCAGCAUUAAAGAGUGUGUUUUCAUAGGGAUGGCACCAUGGAUGGGGAGAGAGAAAAGAAAAGCAUUUGGACAUGGCGCUUUAAAGCACAUACCUGUGUCGAGAAAGUGUGGGGCAAAAGGUGCCUGUGGAUGAGCCCUAUAUAAUGUCUGGGAAGUGCUUUGAACAUUUGAAAGUGCUAUACAAAUAUGAAGCACUGCUGGUUACUUCCUAGCAAGUGUGUUGAGGAUUGUGGUCUUAGUGCGUAUCAGAUAUUCUUGAACUCCUAAACAUCAAGAACUCUAGAAGUUAAUAAUUGAAAUUGGAGGCUGAGACCCUAUGGACAUACGGUCAGCAGCAGCAUUAAAUCUGUGGAUCCCUUUGGAGUUUGAAACAAUAGAGCAGGCAGUUCUUGGUACAAGACUGUGAUUAAAGCAAAAGAAGAACCAUCCAUUUGUUAUUUAGAGAAACAAAUGUUCAGAGAAAGGAAAGAUGACAUUUAUACCACUUAGACUGAUAUAAGAACCUGCAAGUUCUUUCGCACAACUCUUCAAGUGCUAGUUAAAUAAUUUAUAUCAUCUUACCUAUCUGUUGAAAACAACAAAGGAGCUGCUAUAUACUGAGGAAAAGAAACAAAUGCACAUUUAGACCUUGUUACUGUUGAACCUAUCAUGCUAACCUUCAAGGGCAAAGUCUCAAGGCCUAGCAUUUGGCAAAUAUAACUAAGGAUGCAUGACUUAAGUGCCAUCUGAAUGGCAGUGGUUAGAAAUGAUACCUAUGGAGUGAGAUACAAUGUUGUGGUUUUGAUUCCCAGCUAGAGAGCUUUAAUGCAUGCCUAAAAAUACCCUGUGUUGGGUGCAUGGGAAUUAGCAGUGUUACCCCAUGCAGUGCCUAAAGUCAGGGUGUUGGUUGACACAGAAGAUGAACAAGCACUGAAAUCUUAGAUUAACAUUUUUAAAGGCUAGGAAAACAUGUCAACGCUUGCUUGGUUCAAAUUGCCUGCCUCCCCUCCUGUAUUGAAAAUUGAUCUAUAGUUAGAAAUGAGUCAUAGGUACUGUAUGUUACAUUACCACCAUAUAAAGUUCUAUUUUUAUUGUAAUACUUGA
Molecule: long non-coding RNA, 1096 nt
Organism: Podarcis raffonei (Aeolian wall lizard)
Lineage: Eukaryota; Metazoa; Chordata; Lepidosauria; Squamata; Lacertidae
Exons: 2
Source: RefSeq, a predicted model, not a curated record